GGGGAAUUUUGGACAAUGGGGGAAACCCUGAUCCAGCCAUGCCGCGUGCGGGAAGAAGGCCUUCGGGUUGUAAACCGCUUUUGGCAGGAACGAAACGGCGCGGGCGAAUAUCCCGUGCUAAUGACGGUACCUGCAGAAUAAGCACCGGCUAACUACGUGCCAGCAGCCGCGGUAAUACGUAGGGUGCAAGCGUUAAUCGGAAUUACUGGGCGUAAAGCGUACGCAGGCGGCUGUGCAAGACAGGUGUGAAAUCCCCGGGCCCAACCUGGGAACUGCAUUUGUGACUGCACGGCUAGAGUCCGUAAGAGGGGGGUGGAAUUCCACGUGUAGCAGUGAAAUGCGUAGAGAUGUGGAGGAACACCGAUGGCGAAGGCAGCCCCCUGGGAUGAGACUGACGCUCAUGUACGAAAGCGUGGGGAGCAAAC
RNAcentral lists this ribosomal RNA (425 nucleotides) under uncultured bacterium. RNAcentral's name for it is "bacterial SSU rRNA". It matches the Rfam family "Bacterial small subunit ribosomal RNA", at positions 356 to 773 of the family's 1533-position model. The record is from RNAcentral.